GUGCCAGCCGCCGCGGUAAUACAGAGGUCACUAGCGUUGUUCGGAUUUACUGGGCGUAAAGCGUGCGCAGGCGGCCGACCUUGUCGGAUGUGAAAGCCCGGGGCUCAGCCCCGGAAGUGCAUCCGAAACCGGUCGGCUGGAGUCCGGGAAGGGAGUCUGGAACACACGGUGUAGCGGUGAAAUGCGUUGAUAUCGUGUGGAACACCGGAAGCGAAGGCGAGACUCUGGAACGGAACUGACGCUCAUGCACGAAAGCGUGGGGAGCAAACAGGAUUAGAUACCCUGGUAGUCCACGCCGUAAACGGUGCGCAUUAGUCGUGGGGGGAAUUGACCCCCCCCGUGGCCAAGCUAACGCGAUAAAUGCGCCGCCUGGGGAGUACGGCCGCAAGGUUAAAACUCAAAGAAAUUGACGGGGGCCCGCACAAGCGGAGGAGCAUGUGGCUUAAUUCGAUGCAACGCGAAGAACCUUACCCAGGCUUGACAUGCAGCUGCAAGUCCCAUGAAAGUGGGAUGCCUUCGAGGGUGCUGCACAGGUGCUGCAUGGCUGUCGUCAGUUCGUGCCGUGAGGUGUUUGGUUAAGUCCACCAACGAACGCAACCCCUGCCGCCGUUGCCCGCAAGGGCUCUCAGCGUGGACUGCCCGCUUUAGGGAGGAAGGUGGGGAUGACGUCAAGUCAGUAUGGCCCUUACGCCUGGGGCCGCACACGUGCUACAAUGGCCGGCACAGAGGGACGCGAGACCGCGAGGUGGAGCAAAACCCAGAGAACCGGCCCCAGUUCGGAUUGGAGUCUGCAACCCGACUCCAUGAAGUUGGAUUCGCUAGUAACGGCGCAUCAGCAGUUGGUGCCGUGAAUACGUUCCCGGGCCUUGUACACACCGCCCGU
RNAcentral lists this ribosomal RNA (883 nucleotides) under uncultured bacterium. RNAcentral's name for it is "bacterial SSU rRNA". It matches the Rfam family "Bacterial small subunit ribosomal RNA", at positions 505 to 1397 of the family's 1533-position model. The record is from RNAcentral.